GUGCCAGCAGCCGCGGUAAGACGAACCGUGCGAACGUUGUUCGGAUUCACUGGGCUUAAAGGGCGCGUAGGCGGUACGCCAAGUCUGGGGUGAAAUCUUUCGGCUCAACCGGAAAAUUGCCUGGGAUACUGGCGUGCUCGAGGGAGGUAGGGGCAGCGGGAACUGCCAGUGGAGCGGUGAAAUGCGUUGAUAUUGGCAGGAACGCCGGUGGCGAAAGCGCGCUGCUGGACCUCUUCUGACGCUGAGGCGCGAAAGCUAGGGGAGCAAACGGGAUUAGAAACCCUCGUAGUCC
This 292-nucleotide ribosomal RNA is filed under the name uncultured bacterium. Its description in RNAcentral is "partial 16S ribosomal RNA". It matches the Rfam family "Bacterial small subunit ribosomal RNA", at positions 505 to 796 of the family's 1533-position model. The record is from RNAcentral.